GAUGAACGCUGGCGGCGUGCCUAAUACAUGCAAGUCGAGCGAACGGACGAGAAGCUUGCUCCUCUGAUGUUAGCGGCGGACGGGUGAGUAACACGUGGAUAACCUACCUAUAAGACUGGGAUAACUUCGGGAAACCGGAGCUAAUACCGGAUAAUAUUUUGAACCGCAUGGUUCAAAAGUGAAAGACGGUCUUGCUGUCACUUAUAGAUGGAUCCGCGCUGCAUUAGCUAGUUGGUAAGGUAACGGCUUACCAAGGCAACGAUGCAUAGCCGACCUGAGAGGGUGAUCGGCCACACUGGAACUGAGACACGGUCCAGACUCCUACGGGAGGCAGCAGUAGGGAAUCUUCCGCAAUGGGCGCAAGCCUGACGGAGCAACGCCGCGUGAGUGAUGAAGGUCUUCGGAUCGUAAAGCUCUGUUAUUAGGGAAGAACAUAUGUGUAAGUAACUGUGCACAUCUUGACGGUACCUAAUCAGAAAGCCACGGCUAACUACGUG
This 497-nucleotide ribosomal RNA is filed under the name uncultured bacterium. Its description in RNAcentral is "partial 16S ribosomal RNA". It matches the Rfam family "Bacterial small subunit ribosomal RNA", at positions 28 to 507 of the family's 1533-position model. The record is from RNAcentral.